ACCCCAUUUGGCCAAGUCCGAACGAUGAUGCCCAGCUUGCUGGGUGGAUUAGUGGCGAACGGGUGCACCUAACACGUGAGUAACCUGCCCCUGACUCUGGGAUAAGCGUUGGAAACGACGUCUAAUACUGGAUAUGAUCACUGGCCGCAUGGUCUGGUGGUGGAAAGAUUUUUUGGUUGGGGAUGGACUCGCGGCCUAUCAGCUUGUUGGUGAGGUAAUGGCUCACCAAGGCGACGACGGGUAGCCGGCCUGAGAGGGUGACCGGCCACACUGGGACUGAGACACGGCCCAGACUCCUACGGGAGGCAGCAGUGGGGAAUAUUGCACAAUGGGCGAAAGCCUGAUGCAGCAACGCCGCGUGAGGGAUGACGGCCUUCGGGUUGUAAACCUCUUUUAGUAGGGAAGAAGCGAAAGUGACGGUACCUGCAGAAAAAGCACCGGCUAACUACGUGCCAGCAGCCGCGGUAAUACGUAGGGUGCAAGCGUUGUCCGGAAUUAUUGGGCGUAAAGAGCUCGUAGGCGGUUUGUCGCGUCUGCUGUGAAAUCCCGAGGCUCAACCUCGGGCUUGCAGUGGGUACGGGCAGACUAGAGUGCGGUAGGGGAGAUUGGAAUUCCUGGUGUAGCGGUGGAAUGCGCAGAUAUCAGGAGGAACACCGAUGGCGAAGGCAGAUCUCUGGGCCGUAACUGACGCUGAGGAGCGAAAGCAUGGGGAGCGAACAGGAUUAGAUACCCUGGUAGUCCAUGCCGUAAACGUUGGGCGCUAGAUGUAGGGACCUUUCCACGGUUUCUGUGUCGUAGCUAACGCAUUAAGCGCCCCGCCUGGGGAGUACGGCCGCAAGGCUAAAACUCAAAGGAAUUGACGGGGGCCCGCACAAGCGGCGGAGCAUGCGGAUUAAUUCGAUGCAACGCGAAGAACCUUACCAAGGCUUGACAUACACCGGAAACGGCCAGAGAUGGUCGCCCCCUUGUGGUCGGUGUACAGGUGGUGCAUGGUUGUCGUCAGCUCGUGUCGUGAGAUGUUGGGUUAAGUCCCGCAACGAGCGCAACCCUCGUUCUAUGUUGCCAGCGGGUUAUGCCGGGGACUCAUAGGAGACUGCCGGGGUCAACUCGGAGGAAGGUGGGGAUGACGUCAAAUCAUCAUGCCCCUUAUGUCUUGGGCUUCACGCAUGCUACAAUGGCCGGUACAAAGGGCUGCGAUACCGUAAGGUGGAGCGAAUCCCAAAAAGCCGGUCUCAGUUCGGAUUGAGGUCUGCAACUCGACCUCAUGAAGUCGGAGUCGCUAGUAAUCGCAGAUCAGCAACGCUGCGGUGAAUACGUUCCCGGGCCUUGUACACACCGCCCGUCGAGAGUCAUGAAAGUCGGUAACACCCGAAGCCGGUGGCCUAACCCUUUGGGGAAAGGGAGCCCGUUCAAAAAGGGU
This 1420-nucleotide ribosomal RNA is filed under the name Curtobacterium sp. Rs3. RNAcentral describes it as "bacterial SSU rRNA". It matches the Rfam family "Bacterial small subunit ribosomal RNA". The record is from RNAcentral. Lineage: Bacteria; Bacillati; Actinomycetota; Actinomycetes; Micrococcales; Microbacteriaceae.